This is a non-coding RNA of Arachis ipaensis, 1733 nucleotides long. The record is from RefSeq and is a predicted model, not a curated record. NCBI's taxonomy places the organism in Eukaryota, Viridiplantae, Streptophyta, Magnoliopsida, Fabales, Fabaceae.
GUGGCCAUUUUCCCUCCCUCCCAAAAUCCCCCCUUCCCUCCCAAAAUCCCCAUUAGUCCCAGCUGGUAACUUAGAAAAAAGAAAAAGAAAAAGAAGAAAUCCCUAGCUAGCCAUCGAAACCCGUGUGUGGUGGUGCGCCAUUUCGUUCUUCUUCUUCUUCUACCUCCUUCGUAGCUCAACUCAGUCUCUCUCCACUACGCCGUUUUCCUUUCUCCCAGCUCCAACCAUCGCCGAAGGCAAAAACCCCUCCAUCGCGGACCUGAACUCUGUCUCUCUUCACUGCGUGAGCCGAAGGUCGUCGUUGCUUCUUUGCCUCCUCGCGAGGCUUGUUGUUGCUUCCCUAUUUUGCAUCGUGUGCUGCCGUCACUACUUCACGUCGUGUCUCUGCCUCACCACGAGCUCCCUGUCACCGUGAGCUCACCCUGUGUACUCUUUUCAAGUUCAGCAGAAGCAAUAGGGUUUGGGUGCUCGUGUAAAUAUUUUCAAGUUCAGCAAUAGGGUUUUAAUACCUUUGAUGCUAUUAAGUGGAUGGAGAAAGUUUGGAUGAAGCUGCAUGUGAGAAGAGAACAAGGGAGGAGACUGGUAUUGAAGUGGGAGAAGUUAUAUAUCACAGCUCUUAGCCACGGCCUGGAUAUUAUUUUUGGACUGGUAAAGACAAAAGGAGUUGAGUAGUUGUUGUGGCACAGUGUAUAACAACUUCAAAUGGCAUCUCAAAAUGAAGGAACUAAGCAGUUUAAUCAUAUUUUGUCAAAAGAUUUGAUGGAUUCACCAAGAUUUGAGAACGAGUACAUAGUUGGUGUAAAUAGUUUUUUAGAGUUUGCCUUCCUAAAGGGAAACCGGUUGGAAAAGAAAUCCAAUGUCCAUGUGCAAAGUGUGGAAACACUUAUUGGCGUGAACGAGAUGCCGUAUAUGAGCAUCUUAUUUUCUAUGGGUUUGUCGAAGGUUAUAAACGAUGGACUAAUCAUGGGAAAUCAGUAAUCCCAACAGUAGUAGAUACUGACAUGGAUGAUCGAGGCGGCCUUGAUGAUAUUGACGGGUUGCUGCGUGACGCAUUCGAAAAUAUGGCAAAUCUUGAGGGGGGAAUAGUUGGUUGAAUGAAGAUGCGAAGAGAUUUUAUAAGCUAGUAGACGAAGCAGGUCUGGAAUUAUAUCCGAAUUGUACAUCUGGAUUUUCGAGAUUAUCGUUCAUCAUUCGUCUUUACCACUUGAAGUGUCUACAUGGGUGGAGUAACACAUCUUUGACCUCCCUCUUGGAGUUAUUGAAAGAAGCUAUACCUGAUUUGAACAUUCCCACGUCUUUUAAUAAAGCUAAGAAUAUGGUUAAAGAGUUGGGUCUUGACUAUGAAAAGAUUGAUGUAUGUUCUAAUGACUGCAUGUUGUAUCGAAAUGAGUACAUAAAUGACUCAGUUUGCCGUAUCUGUGGAGAGUCUCGAUAUAAUCAGACUCCUACUACGGAUGGCAACGAAGAGGACUUUGUGCUUCCAAAUAAAGUUUAUAAGGUUUCUGCAAAAACCUUAAGAUACUUUCCUUUAAUACCAAGGCUUAAAAGGCUUUUUAUGUGCCCAAACACAGCAGAGGCGUUGAGGUGGCAUGAUGAGCAGCGUUUGAAAGAUGGUUGCAUAAGGCACCCUGCUGAUGGCCAAGCAUGGAAGAACUUGGACAGUUGGAAGCCGGAUUUAUAAGAACUUGGACAGUUGUAAUCGGUGCACAUUCGCCACUUCCCAUUCUCUGUAC